UGGGGAAUCUUGCACAAUGGGGGAAACCCUGAUGCAGCGACGCCGCGUGAGCGAUGAAGCCCUUCGGGGUGUAAAGCUCUUUCGGCAGGAACGAUAAUGACGGUACCUGAAGAAGAAGCUGCGGCUAACUACGUGCCAGCAGCCGCGGUAAUACGUAGGCAGCGAGCGUUGUUCGGAGUUACUGGGCGUAAAGCGUGCGUAGGCGGUUGUCUAAGUUUGGUGUGAAAUCUCCCGGCUUAACUGGGAGGGUGCGCCGAAAACUGGGUGACUGGAGUGUCGGAGAGGUAAGCGGAAUUCCUGGUGUAGCGGUGAAAUGCGUAGAGAUCAGGAGGAACACCUGUGGUGUAGACAGCUUACUGGACGAUAACUGACGCUGAGGCACGAAAGCGUGGGUAGCAAAC
Molecule: ribosomal RNA, 401 nt
Filed under: uncultured bacterium
Lineage: Bacteria
Description: bacterial SSU rRNA
Rfam family: Bacterial small subunit ribosomal RNA
Source: RNAcentral